CUGGAUUUUGCCUCAAAACCCAUUGUCUUUAUCACAUCCAUUCCUGCCCAUUUUGCCACUCCCUUCAAUCUUUCCCUAAAUGGAUCUUUCUAAGUACUUGCUUUUUAUCACAGCUUUGGUGCUGCUCAGUGUCGCUUCAGCUUGCUCCCAUGGAAAGUGCGGGAUGUUGGAGAAAUGCUCGUCGGACCAAGAUUGCGACGCCGGACUCUAUUGUUUCUACUGCGUGGAAGGGUUUUUAAGCUAUAAAUGUGUGAGGUCGUCCGCUACAGACCAAUUCAAGCUUCUGAAUGAUUCUCUGCCUUUUAACAAGUACGCAUUUUUGACAACACAUAAUGCCUAUGCUAUUGAUGGAUAUCCAUCCCACACUGGAGUCCCUCGAUUCACUGUUACCAAUCAGGAAGAUACUGUCACUCAACAGCUAAAUAAUGGAGUUCGUGCCUUGAUGCUCGACACCUAUGAUUUUCGUGGAGACGUAUGGCUGUGCCAUUCAUUUAACGGACACUGUUAUGACUACACUGCAUUUGGUCCUGCUAUUGACACCCUGAAGGAAAUUGAAGCUUUUUUAUCAGCAAACCCAUCAGAAAUUGUGACAAUAAUCUUAGAAGAUUAUGUUCAAGCCUUUAAAGGAUUGACAAAGGUGUUCACCAAUGCUGGAUUGAUGAAAUAUUGGUUUCCAGUGCGGAACAUGCCUAAAAAUGGACAGGAUUGGCCUCUAGUCAAGGACAUGGUAAAAAAUAACCACAGGCUACUCGUUUUCACUUCAAUUAAAUCCAAAGAAGAAAGUGAAGGAAUUGCUUAUCAGUGGAAUUACAUGGUUGAAAAUCAGUAUGGGGAUGGUGGUAUGCAUGCAGGAAGUUGUCCUAAUAGAGCAGAGUCACCUUCCCUCAACGAUAAGAGUAAAUCAUUGGGGUUGGUAAAUUACUUCAGGACUAUCCCCAUGAAGGAACUCACAUGCAUAGAUAACUCCAAGGAUCUUUUAGACAUGCUUCAUACUUGUUAUGGUGCUGCUGGCAAUAGAUGGGCUAACUUUGUUGCUGUCAAUUAUUACAAAAGGAGUCAAGGAGGUGGAUCAUUCCAAGCUGUGGACACACUCAAUGGAAAGCUUUUGUGUGGAUGUGAUGAUAUCCAUGCAUGUGUGAUUGUUUUUGCAGCCUGGGUCAAGUUUAUCAGCAGCCUGCUCCGCCCAAGAUAAAUUGUAGUGAGAGAACACCUGCAUGAUGUUGAAAUGGAUGAAACGCUGGAAUGAAGGGAGAGAGACGAGUGGCUCACCACAAGGCUUUCGAGUAACUCAACGACGCAGAGAAGGGAGACUUUGUCCUGCAUGCUCUAAACACUCAUAAUUAAUUUUGUUCUGCCCGAUCUAAAUCAAAGAACAAGAAAAAAAAAAGUCUCUGCUUUAUUGUUUAUUUGUUAAUUGUUUACACUUUUUAUAAUAAACACAACAAUAAUAAUAUUGCAGCAUAUGGGAUGACUUGCAUUUGAAGGAAUUCAAUUAGUAAAUUAUCCAAUUAUUUCAUAUAUUUGAUAACUUAGAACUUUUCUUUUGAAGCAUAUUUAUGAGAUUAGCUUCAUGCUUGUUUCUUUGCGUGACCAAUGGGCUACAGGAGAGAGUGCUUAAUAGAAUUGGAUUAAUUAGAAAAUAAAUAAAUAGGAAAUCUUUCGCUAUCAUGUAACAGUAGAGAUGGGCAACUAACCAACUGCUUGAUUACCCAACACAUUGGGCCAGAGAGUAAGGAAUCUCUACUCAACAAUGGCUUUGUCCAUAUUAUCAAUAAUUGAGUUGUCAUUGGUCUGCAUAAUAAAUUACUAGUAUCCAAGUAUUAUAGUUAUUUGUAAACCUUCAAUUUUUAUAGUCUAAUUUAAAAAUUCAAAAACUAAUUAACAAAAGUUUUAGGAGAUUUUUUUAGUUAUAAUGUAAUCCAAAAUUUUAAAACAUUAUUAACUACGUGAAUAGUAAGAAGUGAUAUCAAUAUAUGUGGCAACCGUUGAAUGGCCUAAAUCUAGGAUGCUAAUCUAGAUUUAAUUGAUUGUGUAAUUUGACUACAAAUGCUUUUAGAUUCAAAAACUAUUCUAUCGACCUUGGGAUUUUAAUUUAAAAAGUUAAGAGGUUCAUGUGAAAUACAGAAAGGUAAUAGUGAUUUAUAAUUAUUGACCAUAUUAAACAUAAACACAAUCUCCCAAAAGAAUAUGAAAGUUAAUUCAUAGUUUUAUCUUAAGUAAGUCCAUAGAUUAGAUGGAGAGAGACCUAGAUUGCAGUGUGAAAUCUGUAGGUUUUUUUU
This is an RNA transcript of Manihot esculenta (cassava), 2279 nucleotides long. It is a transcript of the gene named PI-PLC X domain-containing protein At5g67130, with no coding region annotated. NCBI's taxonomy places the organism in Eukaryota, Viridiplantae, Streptophyta, Magnoliopsida, Malpighiales, Euphorbiaceae. The transcript is spliced from 9 exons. The record is from RefSeq and is a predicted model, not a curated record.